This 253-nucleotide ribosomal RNA is filed under the name uncultured bacterium. RNAcentral's name for it is "partial 16S ribosomal RNA". It matches the Rfam family "Bacterial small subunit ribosomal RNA", at positions 524 to 776 of the family's 1533-position model. The record is from RNAcentral.
UACGUAGGGGGCUAGCGUUGUCCGGAAUCAUUGGGCGUAAAGCGCGCGUAGGCGGCCCGGUAAGUCCGUUGUAAAAGUCCAGGGCUCAACCCUGGAAAGCCGAUGGAUACUGCCGGGCUAGAGUCCGGAAGAGGCGAGUGGAAUUCCUGGUGUAGCGGUGGAAUGCGCAGAUAUCAGGAGGAACACCAAUAGCGAAGGCAGCUCGCUGGGACGGCACUGACGCUGAGGCGCGAAAGCGUGGGGAGCGAACAGG